GUACCACGGGACACGUGAAACCCUGUGGGAAGCAGGAGGGACCACCCUCCAAGGCUAAAUACUACCUAGUGACCGAUAGCGUAUAGUACCGUGAGGGAAAGGGGAAAAGAACCCCGGGAGGGGAGUGAAAUAGAACCUGAAACCCUGCACUUACAAGCUGUGGAAGCACAUUUCUUGUGUGACCGCGUACUUUUUGUAGAACGGG
This 205-nucleotide ribosomal RNA is filed under the name Clostridioides difficile. Its description in RNAcentral is "partial 23S ribosomal RNA". It matches the Rfam family "Bacterial large subunit ribosomal RNA", at positions 412 to 619 of the family's 2925-position model. The record is from RNAcentral. Lineage: Bacteria; Bacillati; Bacillota; Clostridia; Peptostreptococcales; Peptostreptococcaceae.